Non-coding RNA from Echinostoma caproni, 82 nucleotides. The record is from Rfam. Lineage: Eukaryota; Metazoa; Platyhelminthes; Trematoda; Plagiorchiida; Echinostomatidae.
GGCCUCGUAGCUCAGCUGGUAGAGCAUUCGCGUACAAAGCGUGGGUGGCGGUCAUGCGUGGGUUCGAAUCCAAUCGAGGCUA